RNAcentral lists this ribosomal RNA (440 nucleotides) under uncultured bacterium. Its description in RNAcentral is "partial 16S ribosomal RNA". It matches the Rfam family "Bacterial small subunit ribosomal RNA", at positions 338 to 795 of the family's 1533-position model. The record is from RNAcentral.
CCUACGGGAGGUAGCAGUGGGGAAUAUUGCACAAUGGGGGAAACCCUGACGCAGCGACGCCGCGUGAGUGAAGAAGUAAUUCUUUAUGUAAAGCUCUAUCAGCCGGGAAGCAAAUGACGGUACCUGAGUAAGAAGCCCCGGCUAACUACGUGCCAGCAGCCGCGGUCAUACGUAGGGGGCACGCGUUAUCGGGAUUUAGUGGGUGUAAAGGGAGCGUAGACGGCGGUGCAAGUCUGGAGUGAAAGUCGGGGGCUCAACCCCCGAACUGCUCUGGAAACUGUGGGGCUAGAGUGCAGGAGUGGUAGGUGGAAUUCCUAGUGUAGCGGUGAAAUGCGUAGAUAUUAGGAGGAACACCAGUGGCGAAGGCGGCUUACUGGACUGUAACUGACGUUGAGGCUCGAAAGCGUGGGGAGCAAACAGGAUUAGAUACCCCAGUAGUC